Molecule: long non-coding RNA, 1418 nt
Organism: Mus musculus (house mouse)
Lineage: Eukaryota; Metazoa; Chordata; Mammalia; Rodentia; Muridae
Product: predicted gene, 29917
Exons: 2
Source: RefSeq, a predicted model, not a curated record
UAAUCUAAGAAAAAAAUAAAACAAAACAAGCAAAAAGGCAUAGCAACCCCAAGUUCCCAGUGGCCCCUGCAGACUCUGUUUCCACAUAUACCUGGCUUGGAGCAAGUUUUCAGGUGCAGAUGAUAGUAAGUAGACAAGAGCCAGCCCUCCCCACCUCCCAGGGCAGGGCUGUGAACUAAUUUUCAGGUGAGCAUGGGUGAGCCUGCUUGAGACACCUGUCCCCAGUGGAAGAGUUUGCAGUGACAGAGCUGGAGUUUGAACUUGAAUCUGCUCUCUGUGGUACCCAUACACCCUCAGAAUAUGGAAACCUCAAAGUCCAGACCACCGGCGCCUGUGGCCUGACCCCAGCCUUACUAUGAGCUCCAUGUAGCAGCUGACUGGGGUCUGGGGAGGUGGGGUACAGUCUGGAGCCAGCCCUCCUGCAGAGAUGAAACUGUGAUUCCAUUUAGGAGCCCCAGACAGGCUUGCUCCCCUCUUCCCUCCACAUCUUCUUAAUAAGAUGGAAAAUGUUAACCUAGGUCUCACAGGAUAGCUGCUGGGAGAACUGAUUUGGCCAGGAAGGCACUUGGAAGGAGCCUAACAGCUAACAUGAGCCCCACUGACCAGCUUUCCCUUGUGCCCCAGGGCCCUGCUAUGCACCUGCUGCUGCUGCUGCUGCUGCUGCUGCUGGCAGGUAUGAGUGGAGAAGUGAAACUGCGAUGUGUUUGGUCAAGACAUAGCCAAAUCUCAGGCUAAGGAACAGGAAGGAUAGAGGACAGACAGGAAGAGCCAAGGCUCUGCAGUCAAUUGCUCCUUGCCACCCUCUCCCCAGCAUUGCCUUCAAGAGGCCCAGUGAGGAAACAUUAUCUGUAACCCUCCUUACAGAUGGAAAAACCGAGGCAAAGACAAGGAAGAAAGGACACAGCUCUGUAACCAGGACCCAUGGCUCUAGUCCAUGUAGCAAAACCCAGCCCAAAGGAAGCUGCCUGUCCCAGACCCCUUGGCAUCCCUGCUGUCCUGGUGAAGGGAAGGAAUAUGUUUGAUCUGCCAGCCAGAACCCGUGGCCUCAGAGAUGUUGCUGGCUCAGCAAAGACCUGAAAAUGACCCGGCCUUCUGGCACAUGGUCCUCUCUUUACCACUGAACUCUGGCUUUCCCACUGGCUCUUUUAUCAGAAACCCAAAGGCAGCCAGGGAAGCCUUCCCUUGCAGGAAAGGAGCUGGGAGGCUGCCUGAUACUCUGAGGUCACCCUCAUUCCCACCUCUGCACACUACAUUCCUGCCGGUCCCAGUCCUGACUCCUACCCACAGGGAGAGAGUGGGCACUUUGGCCUGCAGAAGACACCUGUAAAACAAUACGACCCGAGUCAGGUGUGGUGGCUUGUACCUGUCAUCUCAGUACUCAGGAGGGAGAUGGCAAUUAAACUCUGCGUUUAAGACCA